GAUGAACGCUGGCGGCGUGCCUAAUACAUGCAAGUCGAGCGAACGGACGAGAAGCUUGCUUCUCUGAUGUUAGCGGCGGACGGGUGAGUAACAUGUGGAUAACCUACCUAUAAGACUGGGAUAACUUCGGGAAACCGGAGCUAAUACCGGAUAAUAUUUUGAACCGCAUGGUUCAAAAGUGAAAGACGGUCUUGCUGUCACUUAUAGAUGGAUCCGCGCUGCAUUAGCUAGUUGGUAAGGUAACGGCUUACCAAGGCAACGAUGCAUAGCCGACCUGAGAGGGUGAUCGGCCACACUGGAACUGAGACACGGUCCAGACUCCUACGGGAGGCAGCAGUAGGGAAUCUUCCGCAAUGGGCGAAAGCCUGGCGGAGCAACGCCGCGUGAGUGAUGAAGGUCUUCGGAUCGUAAAACUCUGUUAUUAGGGAAGAACAUAUGUGUAAGUAACUGUGCACAUCUUGACGGUACCUAAUCAGAAAGCCACGGCUAACUACGUG
RNAcentral lists this ribosomal RNA (497 nucleotides) under uncultured bacterium. RNAcentral's name for it is "partial 16S ribosomal RNA". It matches the Rfam family "Bacterial small subunit ribosomal RNA", at positions 28 to 507 of the family's 1533-position model. The record is from RNAcentral.